Molecule: ribosomal RNA, 468 nt
Filed under: uncultured bacterium
Lineage: Bacteria
Description: partial 16S ribosomal RNA
Rfam family: Bacterial small subunit ribosomal RNA
Source: RNAcentral
AACGAACGCUGGCGGCGUGCCUAACACAUGCAAGUCGAACGGAACGGCCCUGCUUUUUUGCGCUGCUCGAGUGGCGAACGGGUAAGUAACACGUGAGUAACCUACCCUUCACUUUGGGAUAACUUCAUGAAGCUGGGGCUAAUCUCGGAUAGGAUCUCCUGCUGCAUGGUGGGCGUUGGAUCUUUUCGCCGGUUGGGGAUGGACUCGCGGCUUAUCAGCUUGUUGGUUGGCUAGUGGCUGACCAAGGCUCUGACGGGUCGCCGGCAUGAGAGGGUGACCGGCCACAUUGGGCCUGAGAUACGGCCCAGACUCGUACGGUAGGCAGCAGUGGGGAAUAUUGUACAAUGGGAGGGAGCCUGAUGCGGCAACGCCGCGUGCGGGAAGACGGCCUGCGGGUAGUAAACCGCAGUCGCCUGAGACGAAGCGUGAGUGACGGUACUGGGUAAAGAAGCACCGGCUAACUACGUG